RNAcentral lists this ribosomal RNA (267 nucleotides) under bacterium. Its description in RNAcentral is "partial 16S ribosomal RNA". It matches the Rfam family "Bacterial small subunit ribosomal RNA", at positions 1 to 259 of the family's 1533-position model. The record is from RNAcentral.
CAAUGGAGAGUUUGAUCCUGGCUCAGGACGAACGCUGGCGGCGUGCUUUAUACAUGCAAGUCAAGGAGAAUCUAUUCUUCGGAAUAGUAGUAAACUGGCGAACGGGUGAGUAAUGCGUAGGUAACCUGCCCUAGAGAUUGGGACAACUUCGGGAAACCGGAGCUAAUACCGAAUGAUGCAAUAGAUCCUUCGGGGUACUAUUGUUAAAGCGGGCUUCGGCUCGCACUUUAGGAUGGGCCUGCGUCCGAUUAGCUUGUUGGUGGGGUA